GUGCGAUAAGUAGUGUGAAUUGCAGAAUUCCGUGAAUCAUCGAAUCUUUGAACGCAAAUUGCACUCUCCGGUAUUCCGGAGAGUAUGCCUGUUUGAGGGUCGGUUUAAAUAAUUAAUCGGUAUGUCGUUUUCUGCGGCAUGUCGGAAUUGGAUCUUUCUUAACCUUUUUUGGUUAAGUGAUCUAAAAUUUUAUAUUUAAUUAUACUUCAGUAUGAUUACGUACAUAGUAAUAUUUGUCGUUUGAAUACUUGAAGGUAACCUAUUAGGCGUGACCAUUCCAACGGUUUUCGCGUCUAUAAUUUUUCGAAUUUCGACCUCAAAUCAAGUAAGAGUACCCGCUGAACUUAA
This 348-nucleotide unclassified non-coding RNA is filed under the name uncultured Glomeromycotina. Its description in RNAcentral is "partial contains 5.8S ribosomal RNA, internal transcribed spacer 2, and large subunit ribosomal RNA". The stretch from base 1 to 102 matches the Rfam family "5.8S ribosomal RNA", at positions 53 to 154 of the family's 154-position model. The record is from RNAcentral. Lineage: Eukaryota; Fungi; Glomeromycota.